AUGGUAUGCAUACUUGUCAACAUACAUACUGCCUAUAUGCUGCAGAGAAGUAUAUGUAUUCUGCAGUUCCAAACUCUGCGUAUAUGUUUUGAGUUCUGCUCACUAGGUCUCAUUUAUCACUGGGACCUGGUGAGGCAACUUUGCCGAGGUUUCCAAGAUAUAAUUUGGUUUCCUCUUUUUCCCUGUUGCCUACAUCGAGUUGCUUGGUUGCUUGAGCUCAUUGGCCUUAUUUGGUUUAUGGAAGGCAUCCUUGCCAACAGCGCCGUAGCCAGGCCCAGGGCUGCCCUGGCCGUGGACUGGGGCGUGAAGAGAAAACUCUUCGUAUAA
RNAcentral lists this ribosomal RNA (327 nucleotides) under Triticum aestivum (bread wheat). RNAcentral's name for it is "partial small subunit ribosomal RNA". The record is from RNAcentral. Lineage: Eukaryota; Viridiplantae; Streptophyta; Magnoliopsida; Poales; Poaceae.